CGGGGUGUAGCGCAGCUUGGUUAGCGCGCCACGUUCGGGACGUGGAGGCCGGAAGUUCGAAUCUUCUCACCCCGACCA
Molecule: transfer RNA, 78 nt
Filed under: Ilumatobacteraceae bacterium
Lineage: Bacteria; Bacillati; Actinomycetota; Acidimicrobiia; Acidimicrobiales; Ilumatobacteraceae
Also listed under: 1 other name
Description: tRNA-Pro
Rfam family: tRNA
About the family: Transfer RNA (tRNA) molecules are approximately 80 nucleotides in length.
Source: RNAcentral